GGGAUUGUAGUUCAAUUGGUCAGAGCACCGCCCUGUCAAGGCGGAAGCUACGGGUUCGCUGUCAAGGCGGAAGCUACGGGUUCGAGCCCCGUCA
This 94-nucleotide transfer RNA is filed under the name Marcgravia coriacea. RNAcentral describes it as "tRNA-Asp". It matches the Rfam family "tRNA". Rfam says of the family: Transfer RNA (tRNA) molecules are approximately 80 nucleotides in length. Their secondary structure includes four short double-helical elements and three loops (D, anti-codon, and T loops). The record is from RNAcentral. Lineage: Eukaryota; Viridiplantae; Streptophyta; Magnoliopsida; Ericales; Marcgraviaceae.